UGUCAGCAGGGUCAGAGGAGAGCAGCAAUCUGACUCAACAGACAUUUAUUGCUCUCCUGUUGUGUGCCAAGAAAUGCACGGAGAUCUGGACGUGUGUAUGUAACACGGGAGAAGAAAAGGCUCAUGCUCCAGGAGCCCUCGCCUGCUGGGAGAGAUGGAAUUUCAGCCUCAGGUGGUGGACUGUUGACCAGCUACCAGGAGGAAAUGAGCUUGACAAAAAUGGUCAUUGAGGGCAACGCAGCCCCAGCAUCGAAGGUGGAAGAGAGGGUGUCACCGUUGAAGUUACAGGAGACAAGCUGAUCCUCAGUGUUGCCCGGGAUGCCCUGGAGGGGACACUUCGAUGCCUGCCUCACCACCUUCUUGAUGUCAUCGUAUUUGGCAGCUUUCUCCAGGUGGCAGAAUCUCCAUGAGUCACACGAAGACACGAGUGGUGUGCCUGCAUACCUGUUUGAUAGCCCUUCCUCUUCGAAGUGCAGGCUAAGCCUGAGUUAGAAAUCAAAGGCUUAACUGAGUUUUAUUGUUUUCAG
Molecule: long non-coding RNA, 527 nt
Organism: Zalophus californianus (California sea lion)
Lineage: Eukaryota; Metazoa; Chordata; Mammalia; Carnivora; Otariidae
Exons: 3
Source: RefSeq, a predicted model, not a curated record